This 541-nucleotide ribosomal RNA is filed under the name uncultured Vibrio sp. Its description in RNAcentral is "bacterial SSU rRNA". It matches the Rfam family "Bacterial small subunit ribosomal RNA", at positions 355 to 887 of the family's 1533-position model. Lineage: Bacteria; Pseudomonadati; Pseudomonadota; Gammaproteobacteria; Vibrionales; Vibrionaceae. The record is from RNAcentral.
UGGGGAAUAUUGCACAAUGGGCGCAAGCCUGAUGCAGCCAUGCCGCGUGUAUGAAGAAGGCCUUCGGGUUGUAAAGUACUUUCAGCAGUGAGGAAGGGGUGUGUGUUAAUAGCGCACAUCUUUGACGUUAGCUGCAGAAGAAGCACCGGCUAACUCCGUGCCAGCAGCCGCGGUAAUACGGAGGGUGCGAGCGUUAAUCGGAAUUACUGGGCGUAAAGCGCAUGCAGGUGGUUUGUUAAGUCAGAUGUGAAAGCCCGGGGCUCAACCUCGGAAUAGCAUUUGAAACUGGCAGACUAGAGUACUGUAGAGGGGGGUAGAAUUUCAGGUGUAGCGGUGAAAUGCGUAGAGAUCUGAAGGAAUACCGGUGGCGAAGGCGGCCCCCUGGACAGAUACUGACACUCAGAUGCGAAAGCGUGGGGAGCAAACAGGAUUAGAUACCCUGGUAGUCCACGCCGUAAACGAUGUCUACUUGGAGGUUGUGGCCUUGAGCCGUGGCUUUCGGAGCUAACGCGUUAAGUAGACCGCCUGGGGGAGUACGGUC